UUCCCGCCCUUCGCUGAGCUGCGCCGGGUGAAAUCUGAGUCGCGCGCACCUUAGUCCAGCCGCCCUCUUGCGUUCGAGCCGCACGUCUGUGCCAGCCACCUUUACCUGAGCCGUUUUCAAAACCUUAGCCGAACCACCUCUGGUUGCCAAGCCGUUUGAGCCACCUAACCUAUUUUUGGUCUUUUUCCACCUAUUUUGGUCAAUUGGGGGCUGAACCAAGGAAUUUUCCUAAACGAAGGAUAAAUUUGGAAUUAUCUUCAACUUUAGGCAGAGGUAGAGGUAAGAGCAAAGGCAAGCGGACGAAUGACCAGAAGUGACCGUAGCGAGCCAUAGGGACAUGUUUGCUUCCGCUUACGUCAUGUGUCAGAUU
Molecule: long non-coding RNA, 370 nt
Organism: Cucumis melo (muskmelon)
Lineage: Eukaryota; Viridiplantae; Streptophyta; Magnoliopsida; Cucurbitales; Cucurbitaceae
Exons: 3
Source: RefSeq, a predicted model, not a curated record